RNAcentral lists this long non-coding RNA (414 nucleotides) under Lathyrus oleraceus (garden pea). Its description in RNAcentral is "Pisum sativum (pea) long non-coding RNA (PSAT_LNC039819)". Lineage: Eukaryota; Viridiplantae; Streptophyta; Magnoliopsida; Fabales; Fabaceae. The record is from RNAcentral.
UGAAGAAAGCAUAGUUCCGAUAAAAAUGGAGAACUUGGUUAGGAGUUGUUUGUUUUGAUGAUUGGGACAAGUUGGUUAGGUAAAAUGAUAUUCUUUUGCAUUUAUACUCUUUAAAUGACAUACUCUUCGUUACACUAGCCUAACGGCUCUUCUAAAUUAGGUUGCAUAUUGAAUACAAGAUCUUGUAGACGGGAUGGAAGUUUUGCAGAUUGUGUUCUUAUGCUUUUAUUUGGUCAGCUCUCAAUAAGAAUGACUUCAUAUUUCAGUCUUUUUUGUUGAUACUUGUUGUAAAUAUUAGAUUGUAAAUAGUAAUUAUUUCUAUUAGUAAUGAGGCCCAUUAGAUUUUCUAUUCUCUCUUAUUUAAAGCAUGUAGAUGUAACAUGUAAGAAUCACUUUUUAAUAUAUCAGUAAAAU